UAGAUACCCCGGUAGUCCUGGCCGUAAACGAUGGGUACUAGGUGUAGGAGGUAUCGACCCCUUCUGUGCCGGAGUUAACGCAAUAAGUACCCCGCCUGGGGAGUACGACCGCAAGGUUGAAACUCAAAGGAAUUGACGGGGGCCCGCACAAGCGGUGGAGUAUGUGGUUUAAUUCGACGCAACGCGAAGAACCUUACCAGGUCUUGACAUUGAUGGACAGAACCAGAGAUGGUUCCUCUUCUUCGGAAGCCAGAAAACAGGUGGUGCACGGUUGUCGUCAGCUCGUGUCGUGAGAUGUUGGGUUAAGUCCCGCAACGAGCGCAACCCCUAUCUUAUGUUGCCAGCACUUCGGGUGGGAACUCAUGAGAGACUGCCACAGACAAUGCGGAGGAAGGCGGGGAUGACGUCAAAUCAUCAUGCCCCUUAUGACCUGGGCUACACACGUACUACAAUGGGAGUUAAUAGACGGAAGCGAAAUCGCGAGAUGGAGCAAACCCGAGAAACACUCUCUCAGUUCGGAUCGUAGGCUGCAACUCGCCUACGUGAAGUCGGAAUCGCUAGUAAUCGCAGGUCAGCAUACUGCGGUGAAUACGUUCCCGGGCCUUGUACACACCGCCCGUCACACCACGAAAGUCGGAAGUGCCCAAAGCCGGUGGGGUAACCUUCGGGAGCCA
Molecule: ribosomal RNA, 674 nt
Filed under: uncultured bacterium
Lineage: Bacteria
Description: bacterial SSU rRNA
Rfam family: Bacterial small subunit ribosomal RNA
Source: RNAcentral